This 503-nucleotide unclassified non-coding RNA is filed under the name uncultured Glomus. RNAcentral's name for it is "SSU rRNA". It matches the Rfam family "Eukaryotic small subunit ribosomal RNA", at positions 569 to 1077 of the family's 1831-position model. The record is from RNAcentral. Lineage: Eukaryota; Fungi; Glomeromycota; Glomeromycetes; Glomerales; Glomeraceae.
AGCAGCCGCGGUAAUUCCAGCUCCAAUAGCGUAUAUUAAAGUUGUUGCAGUUAAAAGCUCGUAGUUGAAUUUCGGGAUCAAAGAAUCGGUCAUGCCUUGGUAUGUACUGGUUUUAUUGGUUCUCACCUUCUAAAGAACCAUGAUGUCAUUCAUUUGGUGUUAUGGGGAAUUAGGACUGUUACCUUGAAAAAUUAGAGUGUUUAAAGCAAGCUUACGCUUGAAUACAUUAGCAUGGAAUAAUGAAAUAGGACAUCAGAUUCUAUUUUGUUGGUUUCUAGGAUCGAUGUAAUGAUUAAUAGGGAUAGUUGGGGGCAUUAGUAUUCAAUUGUCAGAGGUGAAAUUCUUGGAUUUAUUGAAGACUAACUACUGCGAAAGCAUUUGCCAAGGAUGUUUUCAUUAAUCAAGAACGAAAGUUAGGGGAUCGAAGACGAUCAGAUACCGUCGUAGUCUUAACCAUAAACUAUGCCGACUAGGGAUCGGAUGAUGUUAAUUUUUAUUGACUC